UGAGGGAAUAUUGGGUCAAUGGACGAAAGUCUGAACCAGCCAUGCCGCGUGAAGGAAUAAGGCCCUAUGGGUCGUAAACUUCUUUUGUAUGUGAGCAAUAAGGUCCACGUGUGGACCGAUGAGAGUAGCAUACGAAUAAGCAUCGGCUAACUCCGUGCCAGCAGCCGCGGUAAUACGGAGGAUGCAAGCGUUAUCCGGAUUUAUUGGGUUUAAAGGGUGCGUAGGCUGUUUGUCAAGUCAGAGGUGAAAGGCCGCAGCUCAACUGUGGAAUUGCCUUUGAUACUGGCAGGCUUGAAUACUGUUGCCGUGGGAGGAAUGAGUAGUGUAGCGGUGAAAUGCAUAGAUAUUACUCAGAACACCGAUUGCGAAGGCAUCUCACGAAGCAGACAUUGACGCUGAGGCACG
RNAcentral lists this ribosomal RNA (405 nucleotides) under uncultured bacterium. RNAcentral describes it as "bacterial SSU rRNA". It matches the Rfam family "Bacterial small subunit ribosomal RNA", at positions 354 to 755 of the family's 1533-position model. The record is from RNAcentral.